This 1962-nucleotide ribosomal RNA is filed under the name Streptomyces sp. CNQ431. RNAcentral's name for it is "bacterial LSU rRNA". It matches the Rfam family "Bacterial large subunit ribosomal RNA", at positions 341 to 2151 of the family's 2925-position model. Lineage: Bacteria; Bacillati; Actinomycetota; Actinomycetes; Kitasatosporales; Streptomycetaceae. The record is from RNAcentral.
AUGCGAAAGGUCCGGCGUAGAGGGUAAGACCCCCGUAGUCGAAACAUCAGCGGCUCGUUUGAGAGACACCCAAGUAGCACGGGGCCCGAGAAAUCCCGUGUGAAUCUGGCGGGACCACCCGCUAAGCCUAAAUAUUCCCUGGUGACCGAUAGCGGAUAGUACCGUGAGGGAAUGGUGAAAAGUACCGCGGGAGCGGAGUGAAAUAGUACCUGAAACCGUGUGCCUACAAGCCGUGGGAGCGUCGCGCAUCGAGUUUGCUCGGUGCGUCGUGACUGCGUGCCUUUUGAAGAAUGAGCCUGCGAGUUAGCGGUGUGUAGCGAGGUUAACCCGUGUGGGGAAGCCGUAGCGAAAGCGAGUCCGAAGAGGGCGUUUGAGUUGCACGCUCUAGACCCGAAGCGGAGUGAUCUAGCCAUGGGCAGGUUGAAGCGGCUGUAAGAGGUCGUGGAGGACCGAACCCACCAGGGUUGAAAACCUGGGGGAUGACCUGUGGUUAGGGGUGAAAGGCCAAUCAAACUCCGUGAUAGCUGGUUCUCCCCGAAAUGCAUUUAGGUGCAGCGUCGUGUGUUUCUUGCCGGAGGUAGAGCACUGGAUAGGCGAUGGGCCCUACCGGGUUACUGACCUUAGCCAAACUCCGAAUGCCGGUAAGUGAGAGCGCGGCAGUGAGACUGUGGGGGAUAAGCUCCAUGGUCGAGAGGGAAACAGCCCAGAGCAUCGACUAAGGCCCCUAAGCGUACGCUAAGUGGGAAAGGAUGUGGAGUCGCAGAGACAACCAGGAGGUUGGCUUAGAAGCAGCCACCCUUGAAAGAGUGCGUAAUAGCUCACUGGUCUAGUGAUUCCGCGCCGACAAUGUAGCGGGGCUCAAGCGUACCGCCGAAGUCGUGUCAUUGCAGCAAUACUCCUAACGGGGGCUGUGAUGGGUAGGGGAGCGUCGUGUGCCGGGUGAAGCAGCCGUGGAAGCGAGUUGUGGACGGUUCACGAGUGAGAAUGCAGGCAUGAGUAGCGAUUCACACGUGAGAAACGUGUGCGCCGAUUGACUAAGGGUUCCUGGGUCAAGCUGAUCUGCCCAGGGUAAGUCGGGACCUAAGGCGAGGCCGACAGGCGUAGUCGAUGGAUAACCGGUUGAUAUUCCGGUACCCGCUGUGAAGCGUCAAACAUUGAAUCCAGUGAUGCUAAGCCCGUGAAGCCGUUCCGGACCCUUCGGGGAAUGGAAAGUGGUGGAGCCGGUGGCCCGAGCUGGUAGUAGGUGAGUGAUGGGGUGACGCAGGAAGGUAGUCCAUCCCGGGCGGUGGUUGUCCCGGGGUAAGGGUGUAGGACGUCAGGUAGGUAAAUCCGCCUGGCAUAGAGUCUGAGACCUGAUGCCGAGCCGAUUGUGGUGAAGUGGAUGAUCCUAUGCUGUCGAGAAAAGCCUCUAGCGAGUUUCAUGGCGGCCCGUACCCUAAACCGACUCAGGUGGUCAGGUAGAGAAUACCGAGGCGUUCGGGUGAACUAUGGUUAAGGAACUCGGCAAAAUGCCCCCGUAACUUCGGGAGAAGGGGGGCCAUGUCUGGUGAUGAGUCUUGCACUCUGAGCUGGGUGUGGCCGCAGAGACCAGCGAGAAGCGACUGUUUACUAAAAACACAGGUCCGUGCGAAGCCGUAAGGCGAUGUAUACGGACUGACGCCUGCCCGGUGCUGGAACGUUAAGGGGACCGGUUAGUCACAUUUCGGUGUGGCGAAGCUGAGAACUUAAGCGCCAGUAAACGGCGGUGGUAACUAUAACCAUCCUAAGGUAGCGAAAUUCCUUGUCGGGUAAGUUCCGACCUGCACGAAUGGCGUAACGACUUCUCGACUGUCUCAACCAUAGGCCCGGUGAAAUUGCAUUACGAGUAAAGAUGCUCGUUUCGCGCAGCAGGACGGAAAGACCCCGGGACCUUUACUACAGUUUGAUAUUGGUGUUCGGUUCGGCUUGUGUAGGAUAGGUGGG